RNAcentral lists this ribosomal RNA (253 nucleotides) under uncultured bacterium. Its description in RNAcentral is "partial 16S ribosomal RNA". It matches the Rfam family "Bacterial small subunit ribosomal RNA", at positions 524 to 776 of the family's 1533-position model. The record is from RNAcentral.
UACGAAGGGGGCUAGCGUUGCUCGGAAUCACUGGGCGUAAAGGGUGCGUAGGCGGGUCUUUAAGUCAGGGGUGAAAUCCUGGAGCUCAACUCCAGAACUGCCUUUGAUACUGAGGAUCUUGAGUUCGGGAGAGGUGGGUGGAAUUCCUAGUGUAGAGGUGAAAUUCGUAGAUAUUAGGAAGAACACCGGUGGCGAAGGCGGCCCACUGGUCCGGUACUGACGCUGAGGUGCGAAAGCGUGGGGAGCAAACAGG